This 305-nucleotide ribosomal RNA is filed under the name uncultured bacterium. Its description in RNAcentral is "bacterial SSU rRNA". It matches the Rfam family "Bacterial small subunit ribosomal RNA", at positions 334 to 655 of the family's 1533-position model. The record is from RNAcentral.
GAGCGCUACGGGGGGCAGCAGUGGGGAAUAUUGCACAAUGGGGGAAACCCUGAUGCAGCAACGCCGCGUGAGUGAAGAAGUAUUUCGGUAUGUAAAGCUCUAUCAGCAGGGAAGAAGAAAGACGGUACCUGACUAAGAAGCCCCGGCUAACUACGUGCCAGCAGCCGCGGUAAUACGUAGGGGGCGAGCGUUAUCCGGAUUCACUGGGUGUAAAGGGAGCGUAGACGGCCAAGCAAGCCAGGGGUGAAAGUCCGGGGCCCAACCCCGGGACUGCCCUUGGCACUGCUUGGCUGGAGUGGGGGAGG